RNAcentral lists this long non-coding RNA (291 nucleotides) under Mus spicilegus (steppe mouse). RNAcentral's name for it is "lncRNA (ENSMSIG00000025548.1)". The record is from RNAcentral. Lineage: Eukaryota; Metazoa; Chordata; Mammalia; Rodentia; Muridae.
GCCGGCACGACACUGACACGUCCGAGGACCGACCUGUGGAGCGCCGCGGUUUGGUUUUGGUUUGUUUCCUAAGGACCUUACAGAGAAGCUCCCAGGUCAGAAGACAGAGACAUCCGGACGAAGCCUGCAGGUUUUCUUCAUCUGAGAACUGGCAGACUAGGAAAGGUCUUUGAGAAAAAGGGGAUCGGGCAGGCUUGAAGAAAAGAAAUAACCAGCCAGAUGACAGGAAAGUGUUGAAGCCGGUUUUUAUUUGAAUCUCGAUCACCGUCCAUCCCUAACUCCAAGACAUCA